UCCACCCCAACUGCUCACUUCGAGCUCUCCCCUUGGACAGCAUGCCAAAUGUGCUUACUAUUUGCUCAGUUUGAUUAUAUGGUGAGGCUGAGACAACGUGCUGGGAGGAAGACAGAAUAAUGAUGGCAGACGACUGGGAUUGGUUCAACAAACAUGUUGGUAGAGCAGGGUUAGUAGCCAGCAGCAUAUCUCCACCCAUAAUUUAGGCUUUUUGCAAACAUGACCCUGUUUUACUUAGUGUCAUAAAUCAUAGA
This is a long non-coding RNA of Sinocyclocheilus anshuiensis, 254 nucleotides long. RefSeq lists it as uncharacterized. The transcript has 3 exons. The record is from RefSeq and is a predicted model, not a curated record. Lineage: Eukaryota; Metazoa; Chordata; Actinopteri; Cypriniformes; Cyprinidae.